GGACGUGAGGGCAAUCUGGCUGCCAUGUUUUUCACGUAACUGAGCUCCAGAGUGGAUGUGGCUGAUCUGGCUGGCUCCUCCUCCACCACUCCAUGUGAGUUUCUCAGAAGCUGUGCAUUUGGUGGAAGAGGACGACCACCCGCGAUAGAGAAGGCCCGUUUCCUUGGUCAAGGGCAUCCAAGUAGCUAUGCUUCCCUCCAAACAAGCUCCCAAAUAACUGUGCGCAUAGAAUUAGUGCCAUCCGUGAUACGGAUAUUUAAAAGAAGUAAGCACAUACUGAACUCUGCCUGGCAAACUGAAUUUUG
Molecule: unclassified non-coding RNA, 305 nt
Organism: Fukomys damarensis (Damara mole-rat)
Lineage: Eukaryota; Metazoa; Chordata; Mammalia; Rodentia; Bathyergidae
Gene: 7SK
Rfam family: 7SK RNA
About the family: 7SK was discovered as an abundant small nuclear RNA in the mid-70s but a possible function has only recently been suggested. Two independent studies have found that 7SK RNA binds the CDK9/cyclin T complex (known as elongation factor P-TEFb). P-TEFb activates transcription by phosphorylating the C-terminal domain of RNA polymerase II.
Source: Ensembl